UUGAAGAUGUUUCUACCAAGAGACGACGGAGGCAUUUUAACACACGGCAUUCCUGUUGUCGGGACCUUCAGGGAUGCUUCAGUUCAGCUGGCAACGUGGCUCACUCUUUCAUAAGACCCUAAAAAACACCAUCAAUCCUUAACUCUGCAACGAAUUAAAUGAAAAAAAUAAAUAAAUAAAAUUGGAGGGAGGUAUGAGUUUUUGAAAGCUGGUUUAAAUGAUAGAGGGACCUCAUUCGAGGGACUUAGGGCCCCAGAAACGAACGGGGGGAAUUCGAUCAUAUCCAAGAGUAGUUGGAAAUGAAAAAAAUAAAAUAAAUAAAAAGGUUCGUUCACCGAUCCAAACUGGCAAUGGAACGCAGAAGCGACAGAUCGCCUGUCUUCGUCAUUCUCUUAUUUUCUUCGAAAGGUAGACCCACUACAGUUUGGAAUUUCAAACCUUUCCAAUGCCAAAACCAUCAACAAAAUGAAAAAUAAAAUAAAACAAGGUGCAUCUUGUGUCCGGUUGAAAUGACAAAGGUCGAGUUCAAUACAGCACCGAUUUGGCCACUGUGCUUCUGUUUGGCUGAAAGUUGCUCAUACACGAGGACAAACUGUGGUAAAGGGACUGGACCCAAAAUCCCCACCCCAUCCAUAUUUUCUUGUACUUGGGACCGUCUUUGUGUACCGAGUUUUCACAAAUGCAAAUAGACUGUCAUCACAAAUAUGAUGCAAGAAUUUCCGUUGAAUUGCAACAACACCAAAGACGAAGAAUAAUUAUACAACAAACAAAAAUGACUGGUAAUAAUUAAUCAUCCAUCACUCUUCAGAAGCCUCAACCAAAAACAAUACAUCCUAAAAAAACCAUCGAUUUAUUUAUCUCACUAUUUCACAUAUAUUAAUCAAAAGUUUUUUUUUUUAUUUGAUAGCUUUCACAAUAAAAAAAAAUUGAACCGAAUCACUUAUAAAGCCGUCAAAAUUAUUUUUAUUGAGACAAGCAGUUCUUUAAUCAGCAACAAUUAAUGAUACCUUUAAGUUAAUUUUACAACAAUUCACUUUCUAA
This is a long non-coding RNA of Aphidius gifuensis, 1041 nucleotides long. RefSeq lists it as uncharacterized. Lineage: Eukaryota; Metazoa; Arthropoda; Insecta; Hymenoptera; Braconidae. The transcript has 4 exons. The record is from RefSeq and is a predicted model, not a curated record.